CUGCAUCCACUGAUAGACCAUGAACAGGUUGUGGUUCUUGUGGUUUGCUCUACGAUGAGAGUCAAGGAUCCUUUGCAAUUUCUGCCUGUCUUUGUGGCAGCCCAGAUAGAAUUGGGAAGUACAUCA
Small nucleolar RNA from Jaculus jaculus (lesser Egyptian jerboa), 126 nucleotides. The record is from Ensembl. Lineage: Eukaryota; Metazoa; Chordata; Mammalia; Rodentia; Dipodidae.